Molecule: transfer RNA, 72 nt
Filed under: Ovis aries (sheep)
Lineage: Eukaryota; Metazoa; Chordata; Mammalia; Artiodactyla; Bovidae
Rfam family: tRNA
About the family: Transfer RNA (tRNA) molecules are approximately 80 nucleotides in length. Their secondary structure includes four short double-helical elements and three loops (D, anti-codon, and T loops).
Source: Rfam by way of RNAcentral
UCCCUGGUGGCUCAGAUGGUAAAGCAUCCAUCUACAAUGUGGGAGACCCAGGUUUGAUCCCUGGGUUGGGAA